Molecule: ribosomal RNA, 147 nt
Filed under: Triticum aestivum (bread wheat)
Lineage: Eukaryota; Viridiplantae; Streptophyta; Magnoliopsida; Poales; Poaceae
Description: partial small subunit ribosomal RNA
Source: RNAcentral
AUGGUGGAAACAAAUAAGCAUAUUACGUUUCCUUUGGUUUAUCAUCUUUUAAAGCUAGUACUGAUGUUGCCAGUUGCCACAGCAUUAGUGGAGAGAUGUUUUUCAGCUAUGAAUGUUGUAAAAAAAGUUACGCUACAAAAUGGGUGA